GGCCGGAGUGACCGGGGCCGGAAAAACUAGGGGCCGGAGUGACCGGGGCCGGAAAAACUAGGGGCCGGAGUGACUUGCUACCGUUUGGUUGGAUGAACAUGACUGUGACGCGAAUUAUGAAGGCUCCUCAGGGGGAAUGGAGGCAGCAGCAGCUGUGGCAUUGUGGCGUAGAUCUCGUCAGUAUAAUAUGUUCUAUAAAACAUUCGUGUCUGAUGGUGACAGCUCUGCAUUCCGUUCUGUGUGCGGGAUGAAUCAAGGUGCAGGACCUUACGGUGAGCAGUGCCCUGUCGUGAAGGCCGAGUGCAUUAACCAUGUUGCAAAAAGACUUGCCACAGGCCUUCGUGCUUUGAAAAAGACAAAGUGAUGCAGAAAAGCCAGCAACAUGGGGAGGAAGACAAGCUGACUGACGUAGUUAUAGAUCACCUGCAGUGUUAUUUUCAAGUGAGUCUGAGCAGAAAGGUGGGCACAACUGCUAGUGAAAUGCGUGAGAGAAUGCGUGAGGAAAUCAUGUCAAGUUUCUUCCACUGCACGUCAACAGACGACAAUCCUCAACAUGACAGGUGUGCCAAAGGUGAAAGAUCAUGGUGCUUCUACAACAGAAGCAUUGCUUUAGGACAACAGCCUCAUUCCCACACCACAAUGAAAGUUUAUUUCCGUCUGGAAGAAGAUCAGAAGAGAAAAAUAAAAGCCAUCUAUGACAGACUCACUACAGAUGAGAUGAUGAAUCGAUGUCUUCAGGGCAUAACUCAAAACCGAAAUGAGCACCUACACUCAAGAAUAUGGAGGAUAUGCCCAAAACAUUGUAAUGCAUCAAAAAUGUUGGUGGACUUCACAGCAGCAACUGCGGUAUGCAAUUACAAUGUCGGCUACACUGAAAGCAACUUGGCUGGCCUGCUUGGCAUUGAAUCUACAUUGUCUAUGGAAAAAUAUCUGCAGAACAUGGACAAGACGAUGGAGUCCCCAUUCAGAUGAAAGAUGAGGAACAAGAACCUGCGAAGAGACUUGGAGUAUGCAGCUGGAGGCUUCUGACUGUCACUGUCUUGUCAACAAAUCCUUUUUUCUCAAAAGUAUCUUAGCAUUGUCAAUAAAUUUUCAUGAAGAUUGAUUGAGAAGUUUAUGAUUAACCCAAAAAAUCAAACUUUCUACACACGUAAGGGCUGGAGAAGGUGGUGGCCAAGCUUCAGAAAUGCAGGAAGGAUUAGUGGUGAUGGCCAGAAAUGCAGGAAGGAUUAGUGGUGAUGGCUGCAGGCUGCCAUGACCCCCCCAGCUUUGCAGGGCUAAAAGCUGACCAAGACUUGACUGGCUUAGUGAUGUCUGCCUGACUUGAAAGUCUGAGUGAUGUCUGCCUGACUUGAAAGUCUGACAACAUAAGUCAUAGGUUCUGAUGCAGUGUGUGGUGAUGGACUGUGGCAGGGGAGAGUGGCCCACCUGCAGUGACAAUUAGCAAGCGCGUCUCUCAAAGCUGUUGUUUUCCAUAAGAGAGACUGGCUUGCCCCUCCGUCAACCUGAAAUGGAUGGGAGGCUACUGUUUGUUCACCUUGACAAGUUGUGCAGCCUUACUCAUCUCUAAUGGUCACCAAGAGGCACAUCAAGGAUUUCACUUACUGGGCUGAAGGGAGUCUGGCAAGGCUGUGAGCUGACCAAGACUGACUGACUGGGAAUGAUGAACUGGAGAAAUGAAGCUGAAUCAAAUGAGAAUAAUGGGUGCUUGGAGUGGCCGAGAAAGUACUGUUGCGUGUCACGUGGAGAACCGAGUGCUGUUAUAACUCCAUGAUGCUAAAGAUGAGUAGUCGUAAGUCAUCACUGGCAAGAUGAUGACUGCUGUCCACAAUGAUGUCCACAAGGAAAUCACUGGCAAAGAUGUUAGGAGACUGUGGAGGACUGGGUGGGGAAACUUUCUGAAAAUAUUAUUAUAUUCAGUGAGGCAGUUAUCCACUCCUGUGAUGGUAUGGGUGGCUGCCUCAUUACUCUGUGCUGUGCCCACUUGGCUGUGUUCGCUGUCUGAGCUGUGGUUAAGAGUUCGAGGACUCCUCAAAUUAUUGAUUUGAUUUGUUUUUGUGUUUUUUUUUUUUUAUAAAAUUUUUUUUCCUGGAUAUCUGUUGUCUUGUUCUCCAGAGACUCUUCUAGGUAUCCAGUAACCUGUUUGUUAUUUUUAACAAAGUGAAUUUUUGGUAUUUUAAGUGUUUAUUAUUGAAUAUGAUGCUUUUGAAUAUGGGUUCAGUAAUUUCCUGCUUUUGAAUAUGGGUUCAGUAAUUUCCUGAUUUCCUUUUUCUAUUAAAAUGUAUUAGGCAGGUUUUUAUUUAAAUGUUUUUAUAGUUUUUCCAUAUAACCUUUUUAUGCUACUCAUAUUCCCCCCACACUAUAUAUAUACCUGGUUGGUCCCACCCCCUGCUCUCCCUGCAUUCCCCCCACACUCUACUCCUCAUCCAUAGGUUCAUAGGUCUUUUUCUCUACUAUAUAUAUAUACCAGGUUGCUCCCACCCCCUGCUCUCCAUAUACCAGGUUGCUCCCACCCCCUGCUCUCCACUUAUAUAUAAAAUUUAUUUAUAUUAUAUACUGCUCUCUUACUUGACAAGUCUAUAUAACCUAACCUCACUUUUUCCGCUGUCUAUACUGCUCUCGAUAACCUAACCUCACUUCUUGGUCCGCUAGAUAAUACUGUAUUAUAGCUCUCGAUAACCUAACCUCACUUGGUCCGCUAGAUAAUUAUUUUUGCUCUCCACUUAUAUAUAAAAUUUAUAUUAUAUACUGGUCCGCUAGAUAAUUAUUUUUAGCUUCUAUUAUAAAAGACUUGUCUAACUCUCCACUGUCAAUAAAAUUAGCUCUCCACUGUCUAUUAUAAAAAGACACUGACUAUUAUAAUAAAAUUAGCUCCACUGACUAUUAUAAUAAAAUUAGCUCUCCACA
Molecule: long non-coding RNA, 2907 nt
Organism: Scylla paramamosain (green mud crab)
Lineage: Eukaryota; Metazoa; Arthropoda; Malacostraca; Decapoda; Portunidae
Exons: 7
Source: RefSeq, a predicted model, not a curated record